This 253-nucleotide ribosomal RNA is filed under the name uncultured bacterium. RNAcentral's name for it is "partial 16S ribosomal RNA". It matches the Rfam family "Bacterial small subunit ribosomal RNA", at positions 524 to 776 of the family's 1533-position model. The record is from RNAcentral.
UACGUAGGGUGCGAGCGUUGUCCGGAAUUAUUGGGCGUAAAGAGCUCGUAGGCGGUUUGUCGCGUCUGCUGUGAAAACUCGGGGCUUAACUCCGGGCCUGCAGUGGGUACGGGCAGACUAGAGUGCGGUAGGGGAGACUGGAACUCCUGGUGUAGUGGUGAAAUGCGUAGAGAUCAGGAAGAAUACCUGUGGCGCAAGCGCCCACCUGGCCGAGACCUGACGCUGAGGCACGAAAGCGUGGGGAGCGAACCGG